AACAAAUCAAGAAUUUCUGGUCAUAGCAAGGGGUUAAUCAUCUUUUGCAAGUAAGCUCACGAUUGCCGAUAGUUGGUGAAGUUUUUCUUUACAAGUCGGUGUAGAAAUUCAAGUCCAAGAUCUGAGAUUCACAGUUCAAGAUUCAAGGCUCAAGAUUCUCAAGACUCAAGAAUCAAGAUUUCUGAAGUCAAGAGCUGAAGUUGUAUCCUCCUCCCCCUGUUGGAUUAUUCCCUAGGUUUGUCCUACUUCGACAACCUAGGAAUAUUUCCUUCAAGGGCACUGAUUAUUAAUAUUUUUGGUAUAUUAUUUUUUGG
This is a long non-coding RNA of Actinia tenebrosa (Australian red waratah sea anemone), 314 nucleotides long. NCBI's taxonomy places the organism in Eukaryota, Metazoa, Cnidaria, Anthozoa, Actiniaria, Actiniidae. The record is from RefSeq and is a predicted model, not a curated record.